This 114-nucleotide ribosomal RNA is filed under the name Parathalassolituus penaei. Its description in RNAcentral is "Bacterial large subunit ribosomal RNA". It matches the Rfam family "Bacterial large subunit ribosomal RNA", at positions 2809 to 2925 of the family's 2925-position model. Lineage: Bacteria; Pseudomonadati; Pseudomonadota; Gammaproteobacteria; Oceanospirillales; Oceanospirillaceae. The record is from Rfam by way of RNAcentral.
UACUCCUCGAGAGUUCUGUAGGGCCCUGGAAGACCACCAGGUUGAUAGGUCAGGUGUGUAAGCGUUGUGAGGCGUUGAGCUAACUGAUACUAAUUGCCCGUGAGGCUUGACCAU